AGUGAACGCUGGCGGUAGGCCUAACACAUGCAAGUCGAACGGCAGCACAGUAAGAGCUUGCUCUUACGGGUGGCGAGUGGCGGACGGGUGAGGAAUACAUCGGAAUCUACUUUUUCGUGGGGGAUAACGUAGGGAAACUUACGCUAAUACCGCAUACGACCUACGGGUGAAAGCAUGGGAUCUUCGGACCUUGCGUGAUUGAAUGAGCCGAUGUCGGAUUAGCGAGUUGGCGGGGUAAAGGCCCACCAAGGCGACGAUCCGUAGCUGGUCUGAGAGGAUGAUCAGCCACACUGGAACUGAGACACGGUCCAGACUCCUACGGGAGGCAGCAGUGGGGAAUAUUGGACAAUGGGCGCAAGCCUGAUCCAGCCAUACCGCGUGGGUGAAGAAGGCCUUCGGGUUGUAAAGCCCUUUUGUUGGGAAAGAAAAGCAGCAGGUUAAUACCCCGCUGUUCUGACGGUACCCAAAGAAUAAGCACCGGCGAACUUCGU
RNAcentral lists this ribosomal RNA (491 nucleotides) under uncultured bacterium. RNAcentral describes it as "partial 16S ribosomal RNA". It matches the Rfam family "Bacterial small subunit ribosomal RNA", at positions 29 to 506 of the family's 1533-position model. The record is from RNAcentral.